CCUACGGGAGGCAGCAGUGGGGAAUUUUGGACAAUGGGCGCAAGCCUGAUCCAGCAAUGCCGCGUGAGUGAAGAAGGCCUUCGGGUUGUAAAGCUCUUUUGUCAGGGAAGAAACGGUGGGAGCUAAUAUCUCCUGCUAAUGACGGUACCUGAAGAAUAAGCACCGGCUAACUACGUGCCAGCAGCCGCGGUAAUACGUAGGGUGCAAGCGUUAAUCGGAAUUACUGGGCGUAAAGCGUGCGCAGGCGGUUUUGUAAGACUGUCGUGAAAUCCCCGGGCUCAACCUGGGAAUGGCGAUGGUGACUGCAAGGCUAGAGUUUGGCAGAGGGGGGUAGAAUUCCACGUGUAGCAGUGAAAUGCGUAGAUAUGUGGAGGAACACCGAUGGCGAAGGCAGCCCCCUGGGUCAAAACUGACGCUCAUGCACGAAAGCGUGGGGAGCAAACAGGAUUAGAUACCCUGGUAGUCCACGCCCUAAACGAUGUCUACUAGUUGUCGGGUCUUAAAUUGACUUGGUAACGCAGCUAACGCGNGAGAGACGCCGCGGGAGGUAACGGUCGCGAGAAGUUAAACUUAACUUAAAUAGAAGUUAGACGGCGNGAGAGNGCGACGGACGACGACGAGGGAGGAGG
Molecule: ribosomal RNA, 629 nt
Filed under: uncultured bacterium
Lineage: Bacteria
Description: bacterial SSU rRNA
Rfam family: Bacterial small subunit ribosomal RNA (bases 1-540)
Source: RNAcentral